CGCCUCUUGCCCAAACAUAAGAGGUCUAGCCUGCCCAGUGACAAAAUUCAACGGCCGCGGUAUACUAACCGUGCGAAGGUAGCAUAAUCACUUGUUCUUUAAAUAGGGACUCGUAUCAACGGCAUCACGAGGGCUAUACUGUCUCCUUUAUCUAAUCAGUGAAACUGAUCCCCCCGUGAAGAAGCGGGGAUACAAUUAUAAGACGAGAAGACCCCAUGGAGCUUUAAACCCAACACACACCUCUUCACCCAGAUAUCAAUUUAACCAAAGAGGCCUGCGCAUUGGUUUUAGGCUGGGGGGGCCACGGAGUAAAAUUAAACCUCCAUAACAAAUGGGCUAAUACCCUUAUCCGCGAUAUUACAAAUCUAAGAAUCACCAAAAUGAUGUUUAAUGACCCGAUAAUUCGAUCAAUGAACCAAGUUACCCUGGGGAUAACAGCGCAAUCCACUUCAAGAGCCCCUAUCGACAAGUGGGUUUACGACCUCGAUGUUGGAUCAGGGUAUCCUAGUGGUGCAACCGCUACUAACGGUUCGUUUGUUCAACGAUUAAAACCC
Molecule: ribosomal RNA, 554 nt
Filed under: Odorrana ishikawae (Ishikawa's frog)
Lineage: Eukaryota; Metazoa; Chordata; Amphibia; Anura; Ranidae
Description: partial 16S ribosomal RNA
Rfam family: Bacterial large subunit ribosomal RNA
Source: RNAcentral